GCUGGGUGUGGUGGCUCACACCUGUAAUCCCGGCACUUUGGGAGGCUGAGGUGGGUGGAUCACCUGAGGUCGGGAGUUGGAGACCAGCCUGACCAACAUGGAGAAACCCCGUCUCUU
This is an unclassified non-coding RNA of Pongo abelii (Sumatran orangutan), 117 nucleotides long. It matches the Rfam family "Metazoan signal recognition particle RNA". From Rfam's summary of the family: The signal recognition particle (SRP) is a universally conserved ribonucleoprotein. NCBI's taxonomy places the organism in Eukaryota, Metazoa, Chordata, Mammalia, Primates, Hominidae. The record is from Ensembl.